CAAACGACUCUCGGCAACGGAUAUCUCGGCUCACGCAUCGAUGAAGAACGUAGCAAAAUGCGAUACUUGGUGUGAAUUGCAGAAUCCCGUGAACCAUCGAGUUUUUGAACGCAAGUUGCGCCCGAAGCCUUCUGGUCGAGGGCACGUCUGCCUGGGCGUCACAC
RNAcentral lists this ribosomal RNA (164 nucleotides) under Senecio auriculatissimus. RNAcentral describes it as "5.8S ribosomal RNA". It matches the Rfam family "5.8S ribosomal RNA". From Rfam's summary of the family: 5.8S ribosomal RNA (5.8S rRNA) is a component of the large subunit of the eukaryotic ribosome. It is transcribed by RNA polymerase I as part of the 45S precursor that also contains 18S and 28S rRNA. Lineage: Eukaryota; Viridiplantae; Streptophyta; Magnoliopsida; Asterales; Asteraceae. The record is from RNAcentral.